Amblyraja radiata (thorny skate) is the source of this 139-nucleotide long non-coding RNA. RefSeq lists it as uncharacterized. The transcript has 3 exons. Lineage: Eukaryota; Metazoa; Chordata; Chondrichthyes; Rajiformes; Rajidae. The record is from RefSeq and is a predicted model, not a curated record.
AUGAAAUAAUGGAUCGACUGGGCUUGUAGUCACUGGAAUCUAGAAGGAUGAGAGAGGAUCUUAUCGAACUAUAUAAAAUUCUUAAGGGAUUAGACAGACUAGAUGCACGAAAAAUGGUCCUGAUGUUGGAGUGCAGAGA